CCUACGGGAGGCAGCAGUCGAGAAUCAUUCACAAUGGGGGAAACCCUGAUGGUGCGACGCCGCGUGGGGGAAUGAAGGUCUUCGGAUUGUAAACCCCUGUCAUGUGGGAGCAAAUUAAAAAGAUAGUACCACAAGAGGAAGAGACGGCUAACUCUGUGCCAGCAGCCGCGGUACUACAGAGGUCUCAAGCGUUGUUCGGAAUCACUGGCCGUAAAGCGUGCGUAGGCUGUUUCGUAAGUCGUGUGUGAAAGGCGCGGGCUCAACCCGCGGACGGCACAUGAUACUGCGAGACUAGAGUAAUGGAGGGGGAAGCGGAAUUCUCGGUGUAGCAGUGAAAUGCGUAGAUAUCGAGAGGAACACUCGUGGCGAAGGCGGGUUCCUGGACAUUAACUGACGCUGAGGCACGAAGGCCAGGGGAGCGAAAGGGAUUAGAUACCCUUGUAGUC
RNAcentral lists this ribosomal RNA (446 nucleotides) under uncultured bacterium. RNAcentral's name for it is "partial 16S ribosomal RNA". It matches the Rfam family "Bacterial small subunit ribosomal RNA", at positions 338 to 795 of the family's 1533-position model. The record is from RNAcentral.